GAUGAACGCUGGCGGCGUGCCUAAUACAUGCAAGUCGAGCGAACGGACUAGAAGAUUGCUUCUCUGAUGUUAGCGGCGGACGGGUGAGUAACACGUGGAUAACCUACCUAUAAGACUGGGAUAACUUCGGGAAACCGGAGCUAAUACCGGAUGAUAUUUUGAACCGCAUGGUUCAAAAGUGAAAGACGGUCUUGCUGUCACUUAUAGAUGGAUCCGCGCUGCAUUAGCUAGUUGGUAAUGUAACGGCUUACCAAGGCAACGAUGCAUAGCCGACAUGAGAGGGAGAUCGGCCACACUGGAAAGGAGACACGAUCAAGACUCCUACGGGCGGCCGGAGUAGGGAAUCUUCCGCAAAGGGGCAAAGACUAACGGAGCAACGCCGCGUGAGUGAUGAAGGUCUUCGGAUCGUAAAACUCUGUUAUUAGGGAAGAACAUAUGUGUAAGUAACUGUGCACAUCUUGGCGGUACCUAAUCAGAAAGCCACGGGUAACUCCGUG
RNAcentral lists this ribosomal RNA (497 nucleotides) under uncultured bacterium. Its description in RNAcentral is "partial 16S ribosomal RNA". It matches the Rfam family "Bacterial small subunit ribosomal RNA", at positions 28 to 507 of the family's 1533-position model. The record is from RNAcentral.